CUGACGUGGACAUCCUGUGAGGUUGCUCUCCCGUGGCUCUGUCCUUGUGGCGUAUGGGAGCGUAGCACUUCGAUGCUGUGACGUACAGUCCCUUUCCACGACGUCAGAGAGCAAGCUUUGUCCCCCGGCCCUCUGGGCUGAUGAGGACAGCGUUCUGUAUAUUCCUACAUCUUCCCAGAGCCCUUUGGGCCAUGACUGGGGGGCUAAACCAUGCAUUGCACAAUU
RNAcentral lists this small nucleolar RNA (225 nucleotides) under Salmo salar (Atlantic salmon). RNAcentral describes it as "Small nucleolar RNA SNORA73 family (multiple genes)". It matches the Rfam family "Small nucleolar RNA SNORA73 family". From Rfam's summary of the family: U17 (SNORA73A and SNORA73B) also known as E1 belongs to the H/ACA class of small nucleolar RNAs (snoRNAs). Vertebrate U17 is intron-encoded and ranges in length from 200-230 nucleotides, longer than most snoRNAs. The record is from Rfam by way of RNAcentral. Lineage: Eukaryota; Metazoa; Chordata; Actinopteri; Salmoniformes; Salmonidae.